This 860-nucleotide ribosomal RNA is filed under the name human gut metagenome. RNAcentral describes it as "bacterial SSU rRNA". It matches the Rfam family "Bacterial small subunit ribosomal RNA", at positions 8 to 843 of the family's 1533-position model. The record is from RNAcentral.
AGAGUUUGAUCCUGGCUCAGGACGAACGCUGGCGGCGUGCCUAACACAUGCAAGUCGAACGGAGAAUUUUAUUUCGGUAGAAUUCUUAGUGGCGAACGGGUGAGUAACGCGUAGGCAACCUGCCCUUUAGACGGGGACAACAUUCCGAAAGGAGUGCUAAUACCGGAUGUGAUCAUCGUGCCGCAUGGCAGGAUGAAGAAAGAUGGCCUCUACAAGUAAGCUAUCGCUAAAGGAUGGGCCUGCGUCUGAUUAGCUAGUUGGUAGUGUAACGGACUACCAAGGCGAUGAUCAGUAGCCGGUCUGAGAGGAUGAACGGCCACAUUGGGACUGAGACACGGCCCAAACUCCUACGGGAGGCAGCAGUGGGGAAUCUUCCGCAAUGGACGAAAGUCUGACGGAGCAACGCCGCGUGAGUGAUGAAGGAUUUCGGUCUGUAAAGCUCUGUUGUUUAUGACGAACGUGCAGUGUGUGAACAAUGCAUUGCAAUGACGGUAGUAAACGAGGAAGCCACGGCUAACUACGUGCCAGCAGCCGCGGUAAUACGUAGGUGGCGAGCGUUGUCCGGAAUUAUUGGGCGUAAAGAGCAUGUAGGCGGCUUAAUAAGUCGAGCGUGAAAAUGCGGGGCUCAACCCCGUAUGGCGCUGGAAACUGUUAGGCUUGAGUGCAGGAGAGGAAAGGGGAAUUCCCAGUGUAGCGGUGAAAUGCGUAGAUAUUGGGAGGAACACCAGUGGCGAAGGCGCCUUUCUGGACUGUGUCUGACGCUGAGAUGCGAAAGCCAGGGUAGCGAACGGGAUUAGAUACCCCGGUAGUCCUGGCCGUAAACGAUGGGUACUAGGUGUAGGAGGUAUCGACCCCUUCUG